CCUACGGGGUGCACCAGUGGGGAAUAUUGCACAAUGGGCGCAAGCCUGAUGCAGCGACGCCGCGUGAGGGAUGACGGCCUUCGGGUUGUAAACCUCUUUCGCUAGGGACGAAGCGCAAGUGACGGUACCUAGAGAAGAAGCACCGGCCAACUACGUGCCAGCAGCCGCGGUAAUACGUAGGGUGCGAGCGUUGUCCGGAAUUACUGGGCGUAAAGAGCUCGUAGGCGGUUUGUCGCGUCGUCUGUGAAAUUCUGCAACUCAAUUGCAGGCGUGCAGGCGAUACGGGCAGACUUGAGUACUACAGGGGAGACUGGAAUUCCUGGUGUAGCGGUGAAAUGCGCAGAUAUCAGGAGGAACACCGGUGACGAAGGCGGGUCUCUGGGUAGCAACUGACGCUGAGGAGCGAAAGCGUGGGGAGCGAACAGGAUUAGAUACCCUAGUAGUC
This 445-nucleotide ribosomal RNA is filed under the name uncultured bacterium. RNAcentral describes it as "bacterial SSU rRNA". It matches the Rfam family "Bacterial small subunit ribosomal RNA", at positions 338 to 795 of the family's 1533-position model. The record is from RNAcentral.